This is a non-coding RNA of Acanthosepion pharaonis, 89 nucleotides long. The record is from the annotation of a GenBank genome assembly. NCBI's taxonomy places the organism in Eukaryota, Metazoa, Mollusca, Cephalopoda, Sepiida, Sepiidae.
GAGUUCCCGAACGAUCACCGAACUUAAGCAACGUCGAUCCUGGCCAGUACCUAGAUGGGUGAUCACUUGGGAAUACCAGGUGCUGUAAG